UACGUAGGGACCGAGCGUUGUCCGGAUUCAUUGGGCGUAAAGAGCUCGUAGGCGGCUGUUCAAGUCGAACGUGAAAACUCGGAGCUCAACUCCGAGCCUGCGUUCGAUACUGGACGGCUAGAGUCUGGUAGGGGGAUCUGGAAUUCCUGGUGUAGCGGUGGAAUGCGCAGAUAUCAGGAGGAACACCAAUAGCGAAGGCAGCUCGCUGGGACGUUACUGACACUGAGGCGCGAAAGCGUGGGGAGCGAACAGG
This 253-nucleotide ribosomal RNA is filed under the name uncultured bacterium. Its description in RNAcentral is "partial 16S ribosomal RNA". It matches the Rfam family "Bacterial small subunit ribosomal RNA", at positions 524 to 776 of the family's 1533-position model. The record is from RNAcentral.